UUCCUUACUCUCCUUUGUUUCAGA
RNAcentral lists this small nuclear RNA (24 nucleotides) under Arabidopsis thaliana (thale cress). Its description in RNAcentral is "snRNA_01989". The record is from RNAcentral. Lineage: Eukaryota; Viridiplantae; Streptophyta; Magnoliopsida; Brassicales; Brassicaceae.